CUUGUGGCCAUAUCACAUAGAAACACCAGUUCCCAUAUGAUCGCCAAAGUUAAGCAACGUCAAGCCUACCCAGUACCUAGAUGAGUGACUACUUAGGAAUACCAGGUGCUGCAA
This is a non-coding RNA of Acanthosepion pharaonis, 114 nucleotides long. The record is from the annotation of a GenBank genome assembly. Lineage: Eukaryota; Metazoa; Mollusca; Cephalopoda; Sepiida; Sepiidae.